RNAcentral lists this ribosomal RNA (588 nucleotides) under Rhizopus microsporus. Its description in RNAcentral is "SSU rRNA". It matches the Rfam family "Eukaryotic small subunit ribosomal RNA", at positions 504 to 1099 of the family's 1831-position model. Lineage: Eukaryota; Fungi; Mucoromycota; Mucoromycetes; Mucorales; Rhizopodaceae. The record is from RNAcentral.
UGCAAUUGGAAUGAGUACAAUUUAAAUCCCUUAACGAGGAUCAAUUGGAGGGCAAGUCUGGUGCCAGCAGCCGCGGUAAUUCCAGCUCCAAUAGCGUAUAUUAAAGUUGUUGCAGUUAAAACGUCCGUAGUCAAACUUUAGUCUUACCGGCGCGGUGGCCUGGUCUUCAUUGAUCAAGCUCGCUGUCGCUGGAGACUCCACGUCCGCUGGCUCCUAGUCCUCGUGGCUAGGGUUUUGUGGACAAUUACCAUGAGCAAAUCAGAGUGUUUAAAGCAGGCUUUUAAGCUUGAAUGUGUUAGCAUGGAAUAAUGAAAUAUGACUUUAGUCCUAUUUUCGUUGGUUUAGGUACUAUAGUAAUGAUUAAUAGAAACGGUUGGGGGCAUUUGUAUUUGGCCGCUAGAGGUGAAAUUCUUGGAUUGGCCGAAGACAAACUACUGCGAAAGCAUUUGACCCAGGACGUUUUCAUUGAUCAAGGUCUAAAGUUAAGGGAUCGAAGACGAUUAGAUACCGUCGUAGUCUUAACCACAAACUAUGCCGACUAGAGAUUGGGCGUGUUUCUUUUGACUCGCUCAGCAUCUUAGCGAAAGU